ACGGGUGAGUAACACGUGGGAACGUGCCCUUUGGUUCGGAACAACUCAGGGAAACUUGAGCUAAUACCGGAUGUGCCCUUCGGGGGAAAGAUUUAUCGCCAUUGGAGCGGCCCGCGUAGGAUUAGCUAGUUGGUGGGGUAAAGGCCCACCAAGGCGACGAUCCUUAGCUGGUCUGAGAGGAUGAUCAGCCACAUUGGGACUGAGACACGGCCCAAACUCCUACGGGAGGCAGCAGUGGGGAAUCUUGCGCAAUGGGCGAAAGCCUGACGCAGCCAUGCCGCGUGAAUGAUGAAGGUCUUAGGAUUGUAAAAUUCUUUCACCGGGGACGAUAAUGACGGUACCCGGAGAAGAAGCCCCGGCUAACUUCGUGCCAGCAGCCGCGGUAAUACGAAGGGGGCUAGCGUUGCUCGGAAUUACUGGGCGUAAAGGGAGCGUAGGCGGAUAGUUUAGUCAGAGGUGAAAGCCCAGGGCUCAACCUUGGAAUUGCCUUUGAUACUGGCUAUCUUGAGUACGGAAGAGGUAUGUGGAACUCCGAGUGUAGAGGUGAAAUUCGUAGA
Molecule: ribosomal RNA, 557 nt
Filed under: Caulobacter sp. RDB-013
Lineage: Bacteria; Pseudomonadati; Pseudomonadota; Alphaproteobacteria; Caulobacterales; Caulobacteraceae
Description: bacterial SSU rRNA
Rfam family: Bacterial small subunit ribosomal RNA
Source: RNAcentral